This 460-nucleotide ribosomal RNA is filed under the name uncultured bacterium. RNAcentral describes it as "partial 16S ribosomal RNA". It matches the Rfam family "Bacterial small subunit ribosomal RNA", at positions 338 to 795 of the family's 1533-position model. The record is from RNAcentral.
CCUACGGGAGGCAGCAGUGAGGAAUAUUGGUCAAUGGACGCAAGUCUGAACCAGCCAUGCCGCGUGCAGGAUGACGGCUCUAUGAGUUGUAAACUGCUUUUGUAAGAGGGUAAACGCAGACACGCGUGUCUGUUUGUAAGUACCGUACGAAUAAGGAUCGGCUAACUCCGUGCCAGCAGCCGCGGUAAUACGGAGGAUUCAAGCGUUAUCCGGAUUUAUUGGGUUUAAAGGGUGCGUAGUUGGUCUGUUAAGUUAGUGGUGAAAUCUCGAGGCUCAACUUCGGAAUUGCAAUUGAUACUGGUCGGCUAGAGAGUAGUUGCGGUAGGCGGAAUGCAUGGUGUAGCGGUGAAAUGCUUAGAGAGCAUGCAGAACACCGAUUGCGAAGGCAGCUUACCAAGCUACUACUGACGUUGAGGCACGAAAGCGUGGGUAGCAAACAGGAUUAGAUACCCCUGUAGUC